GAUGAACGCUAGCUACAGGCUUAACACAUGCAAGUCGAGGGGAAACGACAUCGAAAGCUUGCUUUUGAUGGGCGUCGACCGGCGCACGGGUGAGUAACGCGUAUCCAACCUGCCCACCACUUGGGGAUAACCUUGCGAAAGUAAGACUAAUACCCCAUGGUCUCCACGGAUGGCAUCUGAAAUGGAGUAAAGGUUUCGGCCGGUUGCGGAUGGGGAUGCGUCCGAUUAGCUUGACGGCGGGGUAACGGCCCACCGUGGCAUCGAUCGGUAGGGGUUCUGAGAGGAAGGUCCCCCACAUUGGAACUGAGACACGGUCCAAACUCCUACGGGAGGCAGCAGUGAGGAAUAUUGGUCAAUGGGCGAGAGCCUGAACCAGCCAAGUAGCGUGCAGGAUGACGGCCCUAUGGGUUGUAAACUGCUUUUAUAAGGGAAUAAAGUGAGUCUCGUGAGACUUUUUGCAUGUACCUUAUGAAUAAGGACCGGCUAAUUCCGUG
This 494-nucleotide ribosomal RNA is filed under the name uncultured bacterium. RNAcentral's name for it is "bacterial SSU rRNA". It matches the Rfam family "Bacterial small subunit ribosomal RNA", at positions 28 to 507 of the family's 1533-position model. The record is from RNAcentral.